GUGAGGAAUAUUGGGCAAUGGGCGCAAGCCUGACCCAGCAACGCCGCGUGAAGGAAGACGGUCUUCGGAUUGUAAACUUCUUUUGUCAGGGACGAAUAAUGACGGUACCUGGCGAAUAAGCCACGGCUAACUACGUGCCAGCAGCCGCGGUAAUACGUAGGUGGCAAGCGUUGUCCGGAUUUACUGGGUGUAAAGGGCGAGUAGGCGGAUUUGCAAGUCAGGUGUGAAAGCCCGGGGCUUAACCCCGGGUCUGCAUUUGAAACUGCGGAUCUUGAGUAUCGGAGAGGCAGGCGGAAUUCCCGGUGUAGCGGUGGAAUGCGUAGAUAUCGGGAGGAACACCAGUGGCGAAGGCGGCCUGCUGGACGACAACUGACGCUGAGGAGCGAAAGCGUGGGGAGCAAACAGGAUUAGAAACCCUGGUAGUCC
RNAcentral lists this ribosomal RNA (426 nucleotides) under uncultured bacterium. RNAcentral describes it as "partial 16S ribosomal RNA". It matches the Rfam family "Bacterial small subunit ribosomal RNA", at positions 354 to 796 of the family's 1533-position model. The record is from RNAcentral.